Molecule: long non-coding RNA, 1422 nt
Filed under: Homo sapiens (human)
Lineage: Eukaryota; Metazoa; Chordata; Mammalia; Primates; Hominidae
Description: HSALNT0335245
Source: RNAcentral
UGUGCAUGAUUAACUAAAACAGCCUGUUGACGGCUUAAAAUAAACCUGCCUUUUCCAUUUAGCAUUUUAUCAAAUGAAUAUAAUUUCAUUUGCUGAUGAAUUUAGUUCAGCUUCAAGAGAAUUUUUCUUUUCUUCAUGGGGAGGCUGAAGAAUCAGAACUGUCAUACCAAAGAAUGAAAAGCAAGCCUAGGGAGAACAAGACAGUCUGAUGUUUACAUGGACCUUUUCGUCCAAGAAAGUCUUACCAGGAGGCUCAAUGUGAACAAGAGAUUAAAAACAGAGCUGCUCUGCUGGAGGUGGGGUGGGGAGCCUGAAGACUUCUUCAUCUGCCUCUCACCACAUCCCCCCUCCUGGCACCUGAAGAAUUCUGCAGAGACCAGUUUCCAAGGGCUGUGUGGGCAGAGUGUGCAUGUUCAGGCAUGCAUGCCUGUUUGCAGAUGGUAUGGAGAAAAAGGGUUAACUUAUUUGAUCAGUGAAAUCAGAAAAGGAUCAUUCUGCAUUCGUGGACUACUCUCAUUGACACACUCGCUUACCCAUCUGAAAACAGCGUGAGUUCUGUGUGGAAACCUCCCUGAAUCAUACAAUGAACACAGUCUGGGUUCCUGAUUUGUAUCUGUUACCCUUCAUGGAAAUGGCUGGUGAAGCAAAACUAUGUGUGUAAAACUGCAUCUGCCACAGGCUGCUUGUCCACAAAAGCAGCAAAGCAUCUCUAUGGAAUACCUCCGUAUGGAUCUGUAAAGAAGAGUCCCACUUCAGUCAAAGACAGUAGAUUAUGAGAUUAAAGAAGACUGAAGAGAUAUGAAAACUAAAUGCAAUUCAUGAUCUUGUACCAGAGGGAAGAAAAUUCUAUCAAGAACAAUAUUGUAUCAACUGACAAAAUCAUAAUAUGAAUGACAGAUCAGAUAAAUGUGUUGUGUCAAAGUUAAAUUUCCUGAAGUUGAAAACUACAUUAGAAUACAGUCUAAGAGAAUGUCCUAGUUUGGGGAAAUAUACAUACAACUAUUUAAAGGUAUGGGCAUGACACAACUCACUCACAAAUAGUUCUUUAGCUAUUCUUGCCACUUUAACUUUGAAACUACUUCCAAAUGAAAAAAUUAAAAAUUUUAAAAUAUGUAAGAACACCACAAGUAUAGUAACUUUAGUAAGUGGCAUCUGAAUUCUACUUCAUCAGAAUUUUCUGAAUGCAACUUGUCCUUAUUCCCUAACCCUAAAUAGCAAAUGACUUAGAGUGUUCAAUUUUUUUCUUUCCUUAAUAACAUUAUUCAAAUGUGUAUGGCUCCUGAUAAGCCAUCCCCUACCACUGUAUCCACCUUUCUUUGUUCUACCUAAGCAAUUCACAGUUAAGCUGGAAGAUAUUAGAAGACGCUCACUCUUUCUUUCUCAAGGGAUGCUGACUUGUCACAUGCUUAAACAAACUCUUUU